GGAUGACAAUCACAUCCCAGCCGCGGCGAUCAGCUCCAACUUUCUUCAUUAGCUAACUACUGUUGGAGCCGUCACAUUGCUGAGGAUUUAUCGCAGCCAGGAUUGCCCUGGAACACAAGCCAAUCCGUUUAUGAAAAUAAAAGAAAGGAGGUUGAAUAUUCGCUCAUUUAUUUCCUGUUUUCUUUCCACAGUAAAUAACUGAGCGAAUCUAUAACGGAGAUAAAGAGUGGAUGUGAAAUUGACUGUACAUGGAGACCCCUGACCUACAGAGGCUUCUUUUCCCUACCUCUUUAGGAAACCCGGAUCAAGUCUGAUUAGGCGGAAACGACGAGGCUGCAGCUAUGUGCCCCCGAGAGAAGACUUACAGCAUCAAUGUUAAGUGUGGAGUGAACUGGCCGAGUCCGAAGGAGGACUCCGCCAACAGCAGGUGUGCAAUGAUCUAAACUGCCCCAGACUACAUUCUCCGAGAGCCUCUCUGUCCGCCCCGCCUCCCAGCCUGGCUUUUACCUCUGAUUGGACGUCGGCUGAAACUGGCUCCGCCCUCAACGUCGACCUUCUCCUCCUUCCGAGAGUCACUGCGCCAGCUACGGGGGUGGAGUUGGGCGGGGCGCCGUGGGCGCUAUUGUCAUGGAGACGAGAAGCCAGAGACUUUGCCUGCUGGACUGUGCUGACUGGACCCGAAGCUGUUGCGGGGCUGAGAGCGCAGAGCGGUGCGAGGUGGAAGUGGCCGGGAGCGUAAAAGAGAAGCCGCCAGGCCGAGCUGAGAAGGCAAGUCCUGGGUAGCUUAUGAGAAAGAGGCGGCCCUGGGGCUCUGAGUGCGGCGCGGGGGAGCGCCCCCCCCUGGCUGGGCUGAGCUAGCCCGGGAGCUCCUCCGCUUCCCUCCCACCCUCCUUCCCUUCUUCCCUCCCUCCUCCCGCCCCUUAGCGCCAGCCCUCGGCUCCGCCUGCGCCGCCGCGCCGCUCGGCUCCGCUGCAGCCCCUCCGGCUGCCCGCCCUAACGGUCUAUAACGGCCACGGGCCAGGAGAACAAGUCCUCUGGCGCGCGCGCCGCCCGAGGGCUCGUGAGGAGACAGACUAGAGCCAGCUAGGCCCGCGCGCUGCCGCCACGGAGAACCAGAUUCUAUAAUCAAUGGUGGAUCCUCUAAUUAUAUAAGAAGAAAAAGGAAAAAUUAUUCUGAAAAUUAAGAUUCAGUCGUCUUUGAAUGAACUUUUCUACAAGUCUCCUAACUCUGUGGAAUUAGAUGAAAGGAUAUUGAAAAAUCAAGUUUUCACAUAGUUUAAAUAUCCCUGAAUUUCUUGUAUAGAGAGAUCAGCCCCAAUUUGUCAUGCAGAAGAUGAUUACUCUCCAUUGUAAUCACCAGUGUUAUUGGAGGAAAAAUCAAGUUAUAUUAGAAUAUUUAAAGAACUUUUUAUUAUAUGAGUCUUAAAAAUAAAGUCAGUUGUAAAAAACUUUUUCUAAAAUUGUCAUUUGUUGGAUUAAAUAUCUUUGCAUACAAAUGAUAGAUUCCCCUUCCAAAAUAUUUCUUCUUCAAAUAUGAUAUUUUACUGGUACCUUAAUUACUUCUUAUUCUUAUGUGAAAAGCAAGAGAGGAAAAAGUCUGAAGGACAUAUUAUGCAUCUAAUUUUUUGUAUGUUCCACAAUAGAUCUUUUAUUAGCUGAAUUCAGAAAUAUGUAAUAAAAAGUUCACUAAUAAAGUA
RNA transcript from Monodelphis domestica (gray short-tailed opossum), 1697 nucleotides. RefSeq lists it as uncharacterized. The record is from RefSeq and is a predicted model, not a curated record. Lineage: Eukaryota; Metazoa; Chordata; Mammalia; Didelphimorphia; Didelphidae.